This 643-nucleotide ribosomal RNA is filed under the name uncultured Bacteroidota bacterium. RNAcentral's name for it is "bacterial SSU rRNA". It matches the Rfam family "Bacterial small subunit ribosomal RNA", at positions 55 to 692 of the family's 1533-position model. The record is from RNAcentral. Lineage: Bacteria; Pseudomonadati; Bacteroidota.
AUGCAAGUCGAGGGGUAACAUUGUAGCUUGCUACAGAUGACGACCGGCGCACGGGUGAGUAACGCGUAUGCAACCUGCCUUUGACAGGGGGAUAGCCCGGAGAAAUCCGGAUUAAUAUCCCAUGGUAUUUACGAAUCGCAUGGUUUGUAAAUUAAAGAUUUUAUCGGUCAAAGAUGGGCAUGCGUGACAUUAGCUAGUUGGUAAGGUAACGGCUUACCAAGGCUGCGAUGUCUAGGGGUUCUGAGAGGAUGAUCCCCCACACUGGUACUGAGACACGGACCAGACUCCUACGGGAGGCAGCAGUGAGGAAUAUUGGUCAAUGGGCGCAAGCCUGAACCAGCCAUCCCGCGUGAAGGAAGACUGCCCUAUGGGUUGUAAACUUCUUUUCUGCACCAAGAAUGGUUGCUACGUGUAGCGAUUUGACGGUAGUGCAGGAAUAAGCAUCGGCUAACUCCGUGCCAGCAGCCGCGGUAAUACGGAGGAUGCAAGCGUUAUCCGGAUUCAUUGGGUUUAAAGGGUACGUAGGUGGCCAAUUAAGUCAGUGGUGAAAUCCUGCCGCUUAACGGUAGAACUGCCAUUGAAACUGGUUGGCUUGAGUACAGUUGGGGUAGGCGGAAUGUGUAAUGUAGCCGUGAAAUGCUUA